CAGCACGGACUUCGGUCUGGUGGCGAGUGGCGAACGGGUGAGUAACAUAUCGGAACGUAUCCAAUAAUGGGGGAUAACUAAUCGAAAGGUUGGCUAAUACCGCAUACGCCCUACGGGGGAAAGCUAGGGACCUUCGGGCCUGGCGUUAAUGGAGCGGCCGAUAUCUGAUUAGCUAGUUGGUGGGGUAGAGGCCCACCAAGGCGACGAUCAGUAGCUGGUCUGAGAGGACGACCAGCCACACUGGAACUGAGACACGGUCCAGACUCCUACGGGAGGCAGCAGUGGGGAAUUUUGGACAAUGGGCGCAAGCCUGAUCCAGCCAUUCCGCGUGAGUGAAGAAGGCCUUCGGGUUGUAAAGCUCUUUCGCAAGGGAAGAAAACUUACCCUCUAACAUAGGGUGAGGUUGACGGUACCUUGAUAAGAAGCACCGGCUAACUACGUGCCAGCAGCCGCGGUAAUACGUAGGGUGCGAGCGUUAAUCGGAAUUACUGGGCGUAAAGCGUGCGCAGGCGGUUUUGAAAGUCAGAUGUGAAAUCCCCGAGCUCAACUUGGGAACUGCGUUUGAAACUCCAAAGCUCGAAUAUGUCAGAGGGGGGUAGAAUUCCACGUGUAGCAGUGAAAUGCGUAGAGAUGUGGAGGAAUACCAAUGGCGAAGGCAGCCCCCUGGGAUAAUAUUGACGCUCAUGCACGAAAGCGUGGGGAGCAAACAGGAUUAGAUACCCUGCUAGUCCACGCCCUAAACGAUGUCUACUAGUUGUUGGUGGAGUAAAAUCCAUGAGUAACGCAGCUAACGCGUGAAGU
RNAcentral lists this ribosomal RNA (801 nucleotides) under uncultured bacterium. RNAcentral's name for it is "bacterial SSU rRNA". It matches the Rfam family "Bacterial small subunit ribosomal RNA", at positions 70 to 865 of the family's 1533-position model. The record is from RNAcentral.